This is a transfer RNA of Verticillium longisporum, 81 nucleotides long. It matches the Rfam family "tRNA". Rfam says of the family: Transfer RNA (tRNA) molecules are approximately 80 nucleotides in length. Their secondary structure includes four short double-helical elements and three loops (D, anti-codon, and T loops). Lineage: Eukaryota; Fungi; Ascomycota; Sordariomycetes; Glomerellales; Plectosphaerellaceae. The record is from Rfam.
GGCGCUGUGGUGGAGUGGUUAACACGUAAGACUCGAAAUCUUAUCCUUUCGGGGGCGCAGGUUCGAAUCCUGCCGGCGUCG